CGUGUAGGCGGCUUGGUAAGUUGGUAGUGAAAGCCCUCGGCUCAACCGGGGAAGUGCUACCGAUACUGCCAGGCUCGAGUGCGGGAGGGGAGAGUGGAACCCUUGGUGGAGCGGUGAAAUGCGUUGAUAUCAAGAGGAACGCCGGCGGCGAAAGCGACUCUCUGGCCCGUACCUGACGCUGAGGCGCGAAAGCCAGGGGAGCAAACG
Molecule: ribosomal RNA, 207 nt
Filed under: uncultured bacterium
Lineage: Bacteria
Description: partial 16S ribosomal RNA
Rfam family: Bacterial small subunit ribosomal RNA
Source: RNAcentral